UCCUUCCGAAAUCUAUAAACCCAAUAGAUCCACUCGUUUCAUAAAAUCGGAAAUAGCUAUACAAUAUAAUUUUAUUACAUUCAUAGAAAUCUACUAUCCUUGAAUUACUUCCAAAAUAGCCGUCUUUGUUAUGAAAUUUUAGAUGAAAGCCGCAAUAUUGGAAUGAGUUAUAAUACAGUUAUAAUAAAGAUCUCCGCAGGUACUACCAGUAUCGAUGAUGAAUGAAACAUUAAUUCGUAAAGCAUAUAUGACUGACUGACAGGUAGUCCAAUGAAAAUAUGAGCCUAGUUAUAUUUCAUAAUCGCGUCGAUAUUGAGGCGGAGACACAGUUUAAAAACAUAAUACGAGUAGGCUUGAAUGCCCCUCCUACCAGUGUAUGUAAACGCUUAUAUCAGCGUCGAGUUAUCAGUCUGUAUCGAGAAAACCUAACUAAAGCAUUACUUUAUAUUUUACUACGCUACCGUACGCAGUCAAACACUACAAGUGUGCCUAUUGAAAAUAAAGUGUUUUAAAAAUAAAGAUAACAGUAUUGUUCAAGGAGAACAAUUGAAAUGGAGGAGCUGGACUUAGUAGUACAUAGAGAUUGUAGAAAAGGUCUAACAAUGCACGUGAAAUUAGAAAAAGAUAAAAGCAACGACAGUUCAUCUUCAGAUAUUAGAAACUCUAAAUACUCACCAUGUUAUAGAACUACUGUGAGAUUAAGUGUUAUGAUUACGGCUUUAAUUGUGAUACUCAGUUUGUGUUCUGAAACUUCAGCAAUGCCAAGCGCAUUUCUAUGUCAAAUGCGAUGUCUAAAUGGAGGAAAAAUGCACGUACCAGAUGGACCAUUUGCUUACUGUAUGUGCAAAUGCCCGCGCGGGUUUGUUGGUUUAAGAUGCGAAUUCAACAAAAUGUUCGCACCAAGACGAAUUCGACGAGUUAAUAGACUAAAAAGACUAGUAAAACUUAGAAAUGAAGUUAGAAAUGAAGUUGAAGGAUUGUUAACUGAUAAAAGAAGAAGACAUCGACAUUUUAAGAGAUGACCGAAGCCGAGAAAAUCAGUUUAAGAAAUGAAUUUAAGACGGGUUUAGCUGAAAGAACUACCGGCCACUCAAUUCCGAAUCUUCGACACACAACUCAUCCCCCCAUGGAAAUAUUGUGAAAUCCACAGACAGGACGAUAUCUUAGUGAUAUGUUUUCGUCUUUCCAUUGAUGGCAGAACAAUUUUUCAAACAAGUAGUCUUUACAAUAACGAAAGCUGAAAGGAUUAAAACAGGUCGAUAGCCGAUAUAAAAGAGAGUUACUAUGGUACUUUCCGGUAAUUAUUAGGACAAUGCGCUUCUCUCCAACCUAAAAAUGCAAAAAGGAUUGAUUCACAGCAUGUCGAUAGUUUCGUGUCCCAAAGGACUGACUUUGUAACAAAGUCUUUAGCGAGUGUUAAUUGUGUAUCGAACAGCUAGGGAGAUAUUUUUCUUCGUCACAGAAGACAGGCGUAUAGAAAUAAUUAAAUCGCUGGAGACUUAUUUGUUACAAGAAUCAAGUGGCGAUGGCUUCUUUCAAUGAAAUAGAUGUUUGUCUCAAAAUAUAUGGUUAUCUGAUUUUGUCGUAAAUGGGUCUCUUUCUACGUAGAGUUUCUGUACUUUUGUUGUAGCAUUUUUUGCAAAUGUCAAAGGGUCAAUCAAGGCCCUGUCUUGGAAAAGUUAAAUGAGUGAUCAUCAUGACUAUUUGAUCUUUUAUAACUAGGCGAUUAUUUUUUAAAUACAUGGCAGAUGAUAGACCUUUUGACAUGUGCAGUUGUAUUACUACGGUGCUUUCAUUCCGAAUGGAAGAUUCUUAUUUAUUUUAUUUAUUUAUUUAAAUUAUUUCGCCAUAUUGUCUUCAUUAUUUUGUGUUCAUUUUGUUUGAAGCAGUGAUCAGCUGAGUAACUAUUUCUUGUGUACUGUCAUUCAAAAUAGACAUAUAUUUUCAGCUGUCUAUACAUGUGUUUAACAACAAAAUGUUUUAAAAAAUUAAGCAUCGUCUACACCCAUUUAUUUUGUGAUAAGUGAAAAAUAGUAAAUUUCUGUAAUUUGAACUGAAACCUGUUACAUUUCCUUUUGUGAUUUUGAUUUUAUUUUAAGGAAAUUUGUUGAUAAAAUCUUUGACAGUCUUUGUGUAAACACUUGUAACAUGCAACAAAGUUAAUUCCUAUGAAAUUGUUGAUAUUCUUUCACAAUCUUAUUAGCCUUUCAUUUGUAUUUACGUCGCGCCAGUCAGUUUCAUUUUUCUCAUCUAUCGUCAAACUGUUAUAAAUAUAUUCAAACUGUUACAUGUUAAUAAAACCAAAGAAACCCUUGAUUUGAUAAAGUAUCUUUAAAGUAAGACGAGAAUUCAAAACUACGACAAUAGCUAUAAAAUGCAUCGUAUUAUUUCAAUAAUAUAACGUGCCAUUUUGUGUCCGAAAAAAAAAACAUUCAAAACAAAAUGUAAACAUUUGGUGUUCAGUAUUUGCUUUCCUAGACAUUGGCGAUCAAUUCAUUGACAAAUUCAUUUUUUGCGUAUUGUAGCAGUUUUUUCUGCCACCAUGUUUACUGACUGGCCGAUGGAUGUAGAUGACGUAGAUAUUAUUUUUAUAUCUAUUUUUAGUACAAUAUAGUUUUAGUAGUUAUUUUUAGAUUUUAAUUGAAUGAAUCUCAAGAGUGCCAUACAACCACAUUAGAUAUACAUCCUUUGAGGCAGUGUUUUACACCAUUAACUAGCAUUUCUGUCACGACUACCGGUAAACGAGUCUAUACAAUUAAACCUGGCGUAAAGUUUAAAUAUUUAAACAUGGUUUGGAUUAAGCAAAUAAUCCACCGGCUUUUAGUUUUUUUUUGUUACUUCGUGAUAAGCUGAUAUUGUAAAACUCAUCAGAAAACAUUUAAAUUAAUUUGCAUAAUUAGUCCCAGUCACGUCACACAGAAAAACGAUCAUAUUGAAACUGAGCAAACUUUUGCAUGUUACACGAUACUGUUUUAAUAGAUCUUAUUUCUUCACAGAAUAUUUAUUUUUUUCUUUAAUCACCCUCAUCCCUAUUUAUUCCAUUGGUCAUUUUCAUCAUUUUUUCUCAUUAUUUAAUUUUUUUCCGGUGCAAAAAUCAUUCCAUUAUUUUCUCCCAUUACAUUCCAAAUACGGAAAUUAGCAAUUUGGUCAACACGAAUUGCGCAGAUCCAACGUUGAUCGCACGUUUGCUUUCAUUAUUUCAAAAUUGCAUCGUUACGUUAUAUUUCCAUUUUUAAAUAUCAUUUUUUUUCAUCAUAAUUUUGAACUAUUUUUGAAAAGUACUCAAUGAUAUUUCGCAAUCCAAUUUUGUUUGGUGACUUAAGAUUCUGCUGGAGAUUUUCAAAUACAAUGUACCACGAGAUGCUAAAGCAGCUUUUCUUGCCUGGUCUUGUUUUUUGUUGUAUAUAUAUACAUUGUUUUUUGUUCAAAUUGUGAUAACCAUGACAGAGGAUAAACACUAUUUUAAAAAACAGAAAGAAAACAAUAAAAUAUUGAUUAUUUAA
Mercenaria mercenaria is the source of this 3503-nucleotide long non-coding RNA. RefSeq lists it as uncharacterized. NCBI's taxonomy places the organism in Eukaryota, Metazoa, Mollusca, Bivalvia, Venerida, Veneridae. The transcript is spliced from 2 exons. The record is from RefSeq and is a predicted model, not a curated record.